This is a non-coding RNA of Schizosaccharomyces pombe (fission yeast), 247 nucleotides long. The record is from the annotation of a GenBank genome assembly. Lineage: Eukaryota; Fungi; Ascomycota; Schizosaccharomycetes; Schizosaccharomycetales; Schizosaccharomycetaceae.
CAUAUGCUGAUAGGAAUCAAUAAUGUAAUUAUAACAAACAUAAAAUAUAACCAAUAGAGAGAACCCAAAAAAAGCACUAGAUAUGAUCCGUACUAUCCAGUGGAUACGAUUGGGAUAGCAAGUCCAAGCGAACCAAAACAUAGAAAUGGGGAAUAAAAAACAUGCAAUAAAUAAAGGAUAAAGCCUGUCUUCCGGACACGUCAGACCGUUUCUUUUCUUAGUAGUUGUUAAAUAAUGCCAGUAAACC